This 69-nucleotide small RNA is filed under the name Streptomyces sp. NRRL B-1568. RNAcentral describes it as "ASpks sRNA". Lineage: Bacteria; Bacillati; Actinomycetota; Actinomycetes; Kitasatosporales; Streptomycetaceae. The record is from RNAcentral.
CUUCACCGAGCCGAGGAGGAGGGGGCGCUCGCGGUCACGGCCGUAGGUGGCCAGCAAUGCCUGGGCCUC